Lemur catta (Ring-tailed lemur) is the source of this 2015-nucleotide long non-coding RNA. RefSeq lists it as uncharacterized. The record is from RefSeq and is a predicted model, not a curated record. NCBI's taxonomy places the organism in Eukaryota, Metazoa, Chordata, Mammalia, Primates, Lemuridae. The transcript is spliced from 10 exons.
GGCGGGUCGGCCCUCGCGCCCUGAGGCGCCGGCGGCGGAGGGUUUUGGCCACUUUCCCGGGGCCCGGCGGGAGGAAGACUGCGGAGGAAGGCCCCGUGGCGGUCUGCGUGCGAGUGCGGCCGCUCAGCAGCAGGCACUCAAGACUGCAUCCAUUCAUUCGUUCUACAAAUACUUGUGGAUCUGCAUGUAUAUAUUUUAGUACACCAUUACAGCACUGAACAGACGCUGCCAUAAUUGCCCUGUGGAUCUUCCAUACUACUGGAGAGAGAGACAGAACAUAAAGUUAAAAAUGUGGAGUGUUAAGUGGUGAUAUAGAAGAACUUGGAGAAACUGCCCAAGCUUACUGGAAAAUUGACAAUAAUGCCACGUAUCAAGUUGAUGGAAGUAAAUCCUUCAAUUUUGAUCGUGUCUUUCAUAGUAAUGAAACUACUAAAAAUGUGUAUGAAGAAAUAGCAGCACCAAUCAUCGAUUCUGCCAUACAAGGCUACAAUGGUGUCUUACAUGGAGACAUACAAUGAAACCAUUACAGAUUUAUUCUGUGGCACUCAAAAAAUGAAACCUUUAAUAAUUCGAGAAGAUGUCAAUAGGAAUGUGUAUGUUGCUGAUCUCACAGAAGAAGUGGUUUAUACAUCAGAAAUGGCUUUGAAAUGGAUCACAAAUGGAGAAAGGAACAGCCAUUAUGGAAAAACAAAAAUGAAUCAGAGAAGAAGUUGUUCUCAUACAAUUUUUAAGAUGAUUUUUGAAAGCAGAGAGAAGGAUGAGCCUUCUAAUUGUGAAGGGUCUGUGAAGGUGUCCCAUUUGAUUUAUUUCAUCUGUCUUACAAGAAUUUGGUUGACCUGGCAGGCAGUGAAAGAGCUGCUCAAACGGGAGCUGAAGUAUUUUUUGCAUAAGCAAUGAAUUGGAAAUCUACAUGUCCCUUAACAGGGGGCAAGGUAAAUAAAUUUUGGUACAUUCAUACAAUGGAAUUAUGUGCUAUAAAAGAAUGAAAAAGACCAGUGUUUACUGAUGUGGAAAAUUUUCAAGAUAUGUUACCAAAUGAAGAAAAGCAAAGUACAAAGUAGUGUGUAUAGACUGUGAAUAUUUGUAUAAAUAAGGAAGGGAGGAAAUGAAUAUAUGGACUUGUGUUUCUAAAAAUGUCUGGAAGAAUAAACAUAAUGAUACCUGGUUUCUUGGUAGAGGGACAGGAACUGGUUGAAUGGGGGAUAAAAUUGGAAGGCAGCUUUUUCAGAGUGUGCUUAUUUUUUUCUUUAUGAGCCAUGUAAGCACAUUAACAAAAAGUAAGAAAUUAGAGACUAAUUUCAUUGUAAGUCCAUGGUUGCCCUUUUUUAGAGGUUAAAAAAAUAGAUCUGAAGUAUUAGAGGAGCUCUUUUAGGAAACAGGCUUUUUAUCCCUCAUUCUUUUCUCCCUUUUCAUCUUUUUCUUUUUACUAUUUCUCUCAGGUGAUAACAUUUUUGAUUCACUUAAUAGCUGAUAGCAAUAGGAAGAGAGCUCCUUCUACCAGAGAGAUGUUAAAGGUGGACUUGGGUCUGAUACUAAGCAUAAACUUUAGCAUCUGAUCCUUUAAUUUCUAGUUUAUUUUAUACACUACUGAUAAAUAAGUUUAUCAUCUAGAAAAGGAGACAAGUUUAGUUUUCAUAUUUGCGUAACAAAUUCAGGUGUACGACUCAAGGGAGGCUGUAAUAUAAAUCGAAGCUUAUUUAUUUUGGGACAGGUGAUCAAGAAAGUUAGUGAUGGACAAAUUGGAUAACUUUAUCCCAUUGCACACUUUCCAAAUCAUGCUUGUGUUUUUCAGUAUAUUGAAAAUUAUAGUAUUUUGGUGACUCAAAUAAGUGUACUGAUUAUUCUAUAUAUUUAAAAGUUUUUGUGAUUCUUUCUAUUUUAAAUAUUUACAAGUUGUUAGUUUUAAUCUGCCUCAUAUAGCUUGUAAAGAAUUAAUUUUUAAAACUGUGGCUGAUUUAAGUGUUCUACGUUAAAAACCAUCUUCUUUUGUUAUAUAAAAAUUUUUUCUUUCUUUU